GACGAACGCUGGCGGCGUGCUUAACACAUGCAAGUCGAGCGAUGAAGCUUUCUUCGGAAAGUGGAUUAGCGGCGGACGGGUGAGUAACACGUGGGUAACCUGCCUCAUAGAGGGGAAUAGCCUUUCGAAAGGAAGAUUAAUACCGCAUAAGAUUGUAAUACCGCAUGGUAUAGCAAUUAAAGGAGCAAUCCGCUAUGAGAUGGACCCGCGUCGCAUUAGCUAGUUGGUGAGGUAACGGCUCGACCAAGGCGACGAUGCGUAGCCGACCUGAGAGGGUGAUCGGCCACAUUGGGACUGAGACACGGCCCAGACUCCUACGGGAGGCAGCAGUGGGGAAUAUUGCACAAUGGGGGAAACCCUGAUGCAGCAACGCCGCGUGAGUGAUGACGGUCUUCGGAUGUAAAAGCUCUGUCUUUAGGGACGAU
Molecule: ribosomal RNA, 425 nt
Filed under: uncultured bacterium
Lineage: Bacteria
Description: bacterial SSU rRNA
Rfam family: Bacterial small subunit ribosomal RNA
Source: RNAcentral